UACAUAAAGCGCCAUAAGGGAAGUUUGCAUCCCCGUUAGAAAGGGGGUGAUAUAAUGUCAACUGAAGCUUACCAAGCUCUAAUGGUAUUGACCAAUCAUCAUUAUUUAGUUUGGGUUCUUUAAUUGUUGCCUUGUUGACUUAUAAAAACAAAAAAUAGACUCUCCCUUGAGCGUAGGAAACUUAAAGGGAUAAGUCUAUCAUGAAAAAUAUGCGAGCAAGCUCCCUUAAGGACAGCUUGUGUACAGACCGGAGUGUUGGCGCACUCCGG
RNAcentral lists this small RNA (269 nucleotides) under Bacillus subtilis subsp. subtilis. RNAcentral's name for it is "BsrG". It matches the Rfam family "BsrG". Rfam says of the family: bsrE, bsrG and bsrH pair through intermolecular interactions with antisense sRNAs. SR4 interaction with the 3'UTR of bsrG RNA promotes bsrG degradation and inhibits its translation. The record is from RNAcentral. Lineage: Bacteria; Bacillati; Bacillota; Bacilli; Caryophanales; Bacillaceae.